UACGUAGGUGGCAAGCGAUACUCGGAAUCACUAGGCGUAAAGCGCAGGUAGGCGGUUCGGUAAGUCUUUUGUGAAAGCUCCUGGCUCAACUGGGAGAGGUCAAGGGAAACUACCGGACUAGAGUGUGGUAGGGGAUACUGGAAUUCCUGGUGUAGCGGUGAAAUGCGUAGAUAUCGGGAGGAACACCUGUGGCGAAAGCGGCGCACUGGACCAUAACUGACGCUGAGGCGCGAAAGCUAGGGGAGCAAACAGG
RNAcentral lists this ribosomal RNA (253 nucleotides) under uncultured prokaryote. RNAcentral describes it as "partial 16S ribosomal RNA". It matches the Rfam family "Bacterial small subunit ribosomal RNA", at positions 524 to 776 of the family's 1533-position model. The record is from RNAcentral.